This 1982-nucleotide long non-coding RNA is filed under the name Theobroma cacao (cacao). RNAcentral's name for it is "long non-coding RNA (TCAC_LNC001567)". The record is from RNAcentral. Lineage: Eukaryota; Viridiplantae; Streptophyta; Magnoliopsida; Malvales; Malvaceae.
AAAUAUCUAAUAAAAUAUUUCAUUUUCUUAUAAAAUAAUUUUUAUAGAGUUAUCUGUAAGGAAUUUCUGUAACGCAAAAGCGAAAUAAAUUCAUACAUACUGUAAUACAGAUAGUCAAGGUAUGUAAUUAAAUUUAUAAUGACAAGUGGGCCCCCAAAUGACAAAAGUGAACGAAGGCUGGGAACCUACAAUUUUUGAGGAAGUAAAGCCAACUGUAACCUUCGACGAUAUCAGCUGUCUACAAACUAUCCUGAGCCUGAAAUGGGUAGAAAGGAGGGCGAUGAGAUUAUAUAAUCCCAGUGAGUAAACAAAUAUCAUCUAAAAUAUCUAAAGUUGAGUAAAUGGAGACAGAUAAAAUAGAUUAGCAUAAAAAUGAUUCACAGCAUUUCAAACUCAUUUUAAUAAGAUAAAAUAGAUUCAUUUCACCCAAAUAAACAACGAGGCUUAUGAUUUCCUGAAAAGCUUGGCUCGUGCCAAAAUCAUUCUCAUAUUCAGUUGUCAGGGAUACCUUGGUCUGAGGCUAUCCCAACCGAAUACGCCAAGGUUGUUAAAAAGUCAUGCAUGCAUAAAUCAUGUUUUUAUUUUGAAAACAUAGCCGUUCCUUGGCGUUGGCUGAGUUCACCCUCACGUGGUGGUUCAGCGUGAAGUGAACUCUAAAGUUUUAUCUUAGGAGUUACCCAUCCGCGCCUCUCCGAUCGAGGUAAGAAUAUACCCGGAUUCCGUGCCCCUCUAAAUAGGUUGGUCCACAGAAUCCGCCACUGUAGUGACCAAUCUAUAACCCACCAAUUCAAUAAAAAUUCAACAGCAUGACAUGGCAAUUUUAUCAUUAUCCAGCCUAUCAAGGCAAACAACAGUUUAUACAUUUUCAACAGAAAUACCCAUCCAGCCAUUCAUGCCCACAUUAUCAUAAGCCAUUCAAUUCAAACCAUAAUUUACAACACAGCAACUAGUCUCCAAUUACUCCAUUUUCAAAACCAUCAGUCAAUUUCAAGACAAUUUUAUAAAAUCAUUUCAUUUAAUCACAUUUUGCUUAUAAAACAUAAAGAUUUACCAUUUACACUCAUUUUCCAUAAAAUCACAAAAAUGACUUAAAAUUCACUUCAGAUAAUCAAGAUGAUGAUAAGGUUACUCACUGUAAUGGAAAUCGAGUUCCAAGUACUCCGAUUCUUGAUUCUCGGGUACUAUCUCUUUACUUUUGCCAGAAAGCUCACCACCUAGACAUAAUGCACAAUAAACCAUUUACUACAUUUGUGCUAAACCAUUGUAAAACCAAUUCAGGCUCUAUACUAAUGCAUGAAAUGGGAUGUGAAAUACUCGGGUAACUAUCUAAAUACGGUGUUCAAUAUAAAUUCAAUUAUGUACCUAAAUAAAAUGGUAUUGGCCUAAUUCGAUCUAUCACCCGAUUAAUUGGCCAAUAUGUCCAAUUCACUCCAAACAAUUCCAUUUCUCUCCCAAUACUCCAAAUCAUUAAACACAAUUUAAAUAACUUAAAAUGUGGCAAAAUCAUCCUCACAUUUUCUCUUGAAAAAUUCGGCCAUGGUGAGUGCACUAACAAUAUAAUUUUUCAUGCUUGAUUCUCACACCAUAAAUCAUUCAUUCCUAAUCAAAUCACUUGAAAUUCAAUCAAAUUCAUCAUCAAUAUUCCACAUGGAAUAUUCGGCCAAUGAAGGUGAUGAAAGAACAUGAAUUUUUCUUGCUUGCUUUUCAUACUACACAUCACCAAACAACUAAAAACACUAGAAUAACAUGUUUUCUAACUAAAUUCAUCAUCAAAUUCUCUCUCCUAAGGUUUGAUCAGCACACUAUCCUUCAUGAUAUCUUGUGAUUCAACCAUGAAAAAUGCAAAAUAAUGCAUAGGAAAGGUAGAUCACAAGCUAGAAUUAAGAAAUUUUACCUUUAAUGGCUUGAUUCCUUGAAAAUCAACAAUUUCCCUUUGAAUUUUUCUCUCUAGGGUUUUUGUUUUUCCUUUUUUUCCCUUUUUC